Molecule: unclassified non-coding RNA, 229 nt
Filed under: plant metagenome
Description: partial contains small subunit ribosomal RNA, internal transcribed spacer 1, and 5.8S ribosomal RNA
Source: RNAcentral
UCUCCGUUGGUGAACCAGCGGAGGGAUCAUUACAGAGUUCAUGCCCUACCGGGUAGAUCUCCCACCCUAUGUUAUUAUUACUUUGUUGCUUUGGCGGGCCGUUAGGCUCCGGCCCGACUACCGGCCCCGGCUGGUAAGCGCCCGCCAGAGGACCCAAAACCCUGAAUAUUAGUGUCGUCUGAGUACUAUAUAAUAGUUAAAACUUUCAACAACGGAUCUCUUGGUUCUG